Molecule: non-coding RNA, 102 nt
Filed under: Acetobacteraceae bacterium AT-5844
Lineage: Bacteria; Pseudomonadati; Pseudomonadota; Alphaproteobacteria; Acetobacterales; Acetobacteraceae
Also listed under: 1 other name
Description: Glycine riboswitch aptamer
Rfam family: Glycine riboswitch aptamer
About the family: This family represents the bacterial glycine riboswitch. Glycine riboswitches usually consist of two metabolite-binding aptamers domains with similar structures in tandem.
Source: Rfam by way of RNAcentral
AGAUCCCACGCGGGAGAGAAUGGCGCCCCCGGUCAGGGGUGCUGUCGCCGAAGGCGCAACCGGCCCCCGGAAACGCUCAGGCAGAAGGGCCGCGUGGGGAAG